RNAcentral lists this ribosomal RNA (498 nucleotides) under uncultured bacterium. RNAcentral describes it as "partial 16S ribosomal RNA". It matches the Rfam family "Bacterial small subunit ribosomal RNA", at positions 28 to 507 of the family's 1533-position model. The record is from RNAcentral.
GACGAACGCUGGCGGCGUGCCUAAUACAUGCGAGUCGAACGAGAGCGACCGGUGCUUGCACUGGUCAAUCUAGUGGCGAACGGGUGAGUAACACGUGGGUAACCUGCCCAUCAGAGGGGGAUAACAUCCGGAAACGGAUGCUAAAACCGCAUAGGUCUUCGAGCCGCAUGGCUUGAAGAGGAAAAGAGGCGCAAGCUUCUGCUGAUGGAUGGACCCGCGGUGCAUUAGCUAGUUGGUGAGGUAACGGCUCACCAAGGCCGUGAUGCAUAGCCGACCUGAGAGGGUGAUCGGCCACAUUGGGACUGAGACACGGCCCAAACUCCUACGGGAGGCAGCAGUAGGGAAUCUUCCGCAAUGGACGCAAGUCUGACGGAGCAACGCCGCGUGAGUGAAGAAGGUUUUCGGAUCGUAAAACUCUGUUGUUAGAGAAGAACAAGUGCUAGAGUAACUGUUAGCGCCUUGACGGUAUCUAACCAGAAAGCCACGGCUAACUACGUG